Long non-coding RNA from Labeo rohita (rohu), 1170 nucleotides. RefSeq lists it as uncharacterized. The transcript has 5 exons. The record is from RefSeq and is a predicted model, not a curated record. Lineage: Eukaryota; Metazoa; Chordata; Actinopteri; Cypriniformes; Cyprinidae.
GAAGAAAUGGAGCUGUGAGAGCGCCGGCGCUUUGAACUGCUGCGUCUAAUUGCUUUGCGUACUUGAUUUUGAGGUGGAAAUGUUAUUUUUUAUGUACAAAAAUAAAAAGAAAGGAAGAAAUACAUCACAAUAUAAAGCUGUCCCCAUGCUCUUCUGGUGUGAACCUCACCUUUAUUACAUGUGAGGUGUAUGUGGCAGUGCAGGAAGUGUGUUGCAAAGGAAAGAGUUGUAGGAUGACACUAUACAUAUCAGAAGAACCUGUGUCAUCAAGUUUCUGUGGACCUACUUGAAAUGAAGACCCUGAAAAAGUAGUCAAGGCAUAUUUGGAUUCAGACAUGGAGUCACAAAGUUCCAGGGAGCAAACUGUGAUGGGAGUGUAUGACAUACUGAAGGAGGGAGCGCUGCCUGACGAUGACCCACAUGACACUGGUGUCCGUAUUGAAGGUGUGGAAGUCCUGAGUGACUUGUUAUUUGGACUGAUACACUGUUUGAACCUGAGCAACCCACCAGAGCUCACAUGUACUUUUGAAUUCUUGCAGAAGAUCUUUCUAAAUGGACAGAGGUUGUCAUCCAAGGUACAGUUUCUCAAAAACAAGCUUUUGGAGUGAGCUUGAAAAAGACAAACAAAAAUCAAACAAAAUGCACUUUUAAGUAGUAGUUUGUUUUUGUUUGUUUUAAAUGGACUGAGACUAACAGUGUUUUGUAGUAACUGACUGAAGCAGCUGUUACACACUUUUUUUUUUUUUUUUUUUUUUUUUUUUUUUUUUUCUCUGAGUGGAGCAGUCACUGAUGCACAGUAUUGUUUAUUUUCAGAUGUGAAGCAACAUAGCUACAUGGGUCAUUUAGAAUCAUCAAAAUAUUACACGUGAUAUCAAUGUUUGUUUUAUGUUAUAAAUUCAUGUGCAUUCUUGUUUGUUUUCAAAUGUUAUUUUUUUGUGUCAGGCCAAGGUUUACCUUACAAAUUCCCAAAAGGGUAGUGUUAAAAUGGCUUAAUUUUUAGAAGUUUUAAGACCAAUAGGGCAUUAACAUCCUACAAGCUUGGGGAUCAGUUUUAUCAAGAGCCAAUAUUUUGUUGGUUAAAUGUUUCUUAUACACUGUGUUACAGACACUCAAAUGGAUAGGGGACUUAAAUUGAAGAAAGCAGUUUAAACUUAAUCAGUGCAUGUUAAA